This is a long non-coding RNA of Callithrix jacchus (white-tufted-ear marmoset), 2268 nucleotides long. RefSeq lists it as uncharacterized. Lineage: Eukaryota; Metazoa; Chordata; Mammalia; Primates; Cebidae. The record is from RefSeq and is a predicted model, not a curated record.
AAAUGAUUUCCGUUAUACCCGCCCUGCCCCCGCCCUGUUGGGCGCGAGACUCCGCCUUCUCUCCCCUCAGCCAACGGGUUGGGCGCGCUGAGUUCGCGACCUUUAGUUGUAAUCUGGCGGGGCGCCACUGCGCAGCCGCAGGCCUUUGCCAGCUGGAGGCUGGAGGCAAGGACAGAAGCUCUUAGAGCGUUUUCUUUUUCCCUUUCCUCAAUUCCUGCAAACAAUAUAAGGAGUUUUCUUUCAGGAGAGGUCUUCAUUUUGCGCCUGUUUGCUUAUUUAUUUAUUUAUGAGAUGGAGUCUCACUCUGUCGCCCAGGCUGUGAUCUCGGCUCACUGCAACCUCUGCCUCCCGGGUCAACGGGACGAGUGUUUUUACUCCUAUUUUACAAGUGGACCAAGGGAAUCUUCUGCAAGACCACACAGAAAGGCCAGGAAUCACCCAAGCUCUGACUGCAAAAACUGCAAUUUUCACCCUGCUGCACAGUUCCAUAUACAUGAUGGAGUACAAUGGAAUGAUCCUGGCUUGUUGCAACCUCUGCUUCCCGAGUUCAAGUGAUUCUUCUGCCUCAGCCUAUGGAGUAGCUGGGAUUACAGGCAUGCCACCACUCUUGGGAGAUACAUCCAGAAAACUGCAUUGCAAUUUCAAAUCCAAGUUGGACAAGUUUUUUUUUUUUUUACACAGACAUCACCAUGUUAGAAAAGUUGGAAAAGUUUUGAAACCAUUCUGAUCCUAUCCUUCUUGUCUUCCAAUUCCUUCCAAGGCAUCUUAUUAUUUAUUUGUUUCUAAUUUUCCCAUUAUUAAAGAGGUUGAAUAUCUUUUUUCCAGAGCUAGUUUGGGUUCUGAUUUUCUUCACUUUCCUGAUGGAGUUAUUUUAGAAUUGAAGGGCAUCAUAGCAACUGAGGCAGUAUUGACAUCAUCAAUAUUUUAGGAUUACAGGUAACCAUAUUUCCCAGUUGACUUGAGACAGUGCCAGUUUAUACCUCUUGUCGUGUGUGUGUGUGUGUGUGUGUGUGUGUGUGUGUUUUCUGAGACAGAAUCUCGCUCUGUUGCCCAGCUGGAGUGCAGUGGCAUGAUCUCGGCUCACUGCAACCUCUACCUCCCGGGCUCAUGUGAUUCUCUUGCCUCAGCCUCCCGAGUAGCUGGUAUUACAGGCAAGCGCCACCACGCCUGAUAAAUUUUUGUAUUUUUAGUAGAGACAGGGUUUCAUUAUGUUGGCCAGUCUGGUGUCGAACUCUUGACCUCAAGUGAUCCUCCUGCCUUGGCCUCCCAAAGUGACGGGAUUAUAGGUGUGAGCCACUGCACCUGGCCCUAGUAUAUUUUAUAAUAGGAUUGCAUUCAAUCUUGAAAGUGUCUGAUUUUGAUGAAAAGUCAUUUAUUAGGCUGGGCACCUGUAAUCCCAGCUACUCAGGAGGCUGAGGAAGGAGAAUCACUGAACCCAGGAGGCAGAGGUUGCAGUGAGCCAAGAUCAGGCCACUGUAUUCCAGCUUGUGCAACAGAGCAAGACUUGGUCUCACCAGAAAAAAAAAAAGGUCAUUUAUUAUCUGAAAUACACAUCAAAAUACCACUAUUGGCAUUUUGCUACGGUGUCUCCACCAGUGGGAGCAGGAUCAUCAUAAAGGGUGGGGUUUGUUCUGCCUCCUUCUCUGUUGUAUCCCCAGAGCCCAGAACAGUACCCAGAACCCAGUAAGUGCUUAAUAAGUAUGAAUACAUCUGUGCAUAAAUUCAUUUCUUGGGACUUGGCACAUUGCCACUUGAACAAAUGGAUUCUAUUAACAAGGAAUAUGAAGCAAUGAUUUUGGGGUACACAACUCAUGGUGCCUGCCAAAACAUGCAUUUUAGAUUUUGAUAGAUACCGUCAAGUUAUUCUCCACAGGGGCUGAGCCGGUUUACACUCCCACCAGCAAUAUGUGAGAGCAUCUGUUUCUCUAACCUUCAACCACAUGGUGUUAUCAAAAUUUUUAUCUGUGCCAAUCUGGUAGUUUAAAUUUGCAUUUCCCUUAUUAUGAAAAGAUAGAGCAUACUUUCGUAUGUUUAAAAGCCGUCUGAAAUUUCUAAGAACUGUCUGUUCAUAUCCUCUGCCCAUUUUUUUUUUUCCCAGUGAAUUACUGGUCUUUUAUCAAUCUGUAAAAAUACAAAUAGUUGUUCCAAGGUUUUCAUGUCUUUGCAUUUGUUUAUGGUGUUGUUGUAAACACAAUUUAAAACAUGAAUUUUUAUUUAGCUUCUUUCCUUUCAUUGCAUCUAUAUUUUGCAUCAAGCUUAGACUUUCCC